GACGAACGCUGGCGGCGUGCUUAAUACAUGCAAGUCGAACGCGAAAGUUCCUUUCGGGGAGCGAGUAGAGUGGCGAACGGGUGAGUAACGCGUAGAUUAUCUACCCUUGAGAUUGAGAUACCACCGGGAAACUGGUGUUAAUACCGAAUGAUGCUUUUUGCUGAGAGGUAAAAGGUUAAAGGAGGGCAACUUCCGCUUGAGGAUGAGUCUGCGUUCUAUCAGCUAGAUGGUGGGGUAACGGCCUACCAUGGCGAAGACGGAUAGCUGGUCUGAGAGGAUGAUCAGCCACACUGGCACUGAGACACGGGCCAGACUCCUACGGGAGGCAGCAGUAGGGAAUAUUGCGCAAUGGGCGAAAGCCUGACGCAGCGACGCCGCGUGAGUGAUGAAGGUCCUCUGGAUUGUAAAGCUCUGUAAGGAGGGAAGAACCGCCUGGUGUAACGGCCAGGUCUGACGGUACCUCCAAAGUAAGCACCGGCUAAAUAAGU
This 488-nucleotide ribosomal RNA is filed under the name uncultured delta proteobacterium. RNAcentral describes it as "bacterial SSU rRNA". It matches the Rfam family "Bacterial small subunit ribosomal RNA", at positions 28 to 506 of the family's 1533-position model. The record is from RNAcentral. Lineage: Bacteria; Deltaproteobacteria.